UCGGCUUUUGGCUUCCCCACCCCCCAGCCCUUCAGCCCCCUAUAAAACAACCCUGCCCCUCUGAGCAGCGCGGCCAUUUUUCCUUUUCGUCCCGGCUGGCCCGCCCGGAGGCUCUUUCCUCUCAAUAAAGCCUGAACUUAAGGAAUUUCCUCUAGCCUGCGGUCCGGUUUCUUUCCCAAUGAGCCCAGUCUUCCCGCAGAGGGUAGGUCGGACAAAUGGUGCCGGAAACCCGGGACGGGAGCUGAGGCCGUUGGCCCGGCCACGGCCCCCCUCCCCGACCUACCCAACACUGGCCCUGCCACCUCCACGUUCCGAUUAAGGAAUCCAGUGGAAGCUACACGCCGCCUACCAUCCUCAGUCCUCUGGUAAGGUGGAACGGGCCAAUGGCCUAAUAAAGGAGCAUCUGACCAAGCUCAUGCUUGAGCUCCGCCAAUCCUGGGUAACCUUGCUUCCUAUUGCCCUCACCAGGUUAAGAGCAAGCCCCCGGGGCCCGUCACAGCUUAGCCCAUUUGAGCUGCUGUAUGGUUGCCCCUUCCUGCUUUCAACUCCCCCACCGCCAGAGACUACUCCUCUAGACAGCUACCUCCCCUACUUUACUCAGGAUUAGGAGGAGGGGCACUAGUCCACUCUCACCUGGCCAUAGCCCGACUGACCUCACAACUCCAAGCGGCUAUUGAUGACUCUACUGAGUCUUUAGCAUCACUCCAACGACAGAUCACCUCAGUUGCCCAAGUUGCCUUGCAGAACCGAAGAGCCCUGGACCUGCUCACUGCUGAACGAGGAGGGACCUGUAUCUUCCUACAGGAAGAGUGCUGUUACUACAUCAAUGAAUCCGGCCUAGUAGAAACCCAAAUCGAGAGCCUCCAGAAACUCAAAACUAACCUGCAGAGUCAGAAGUUCUCGGCUGAAGCCACGGCGUGUUCCUAUAGCGGCGCUUUCAAGAACUGACUCGAGUCACCAUCCACCAGAUGCUGCUCCAACCCUACCCUGAACGAGUGCAAGAAACAGACCUCUCCCCGAACAUCCAGGCUCGUUAAGAAAAGAGACCUCUUCAGAACCCCCCGUCGACCCUUGUCAGCAGGAAGUAGCUAGAGAGACAACCGACGCCCCUGACCCCCUCUUUUUCUUUUCUUUAAGGAGUCGGGAAUGUUUGGAAAACUCUGCCCCUACCGCAAAAUCUCUCUCUCUUUCCCUCCCCCACAAAGAGGCUCCCUUAUCUCUCACUUUACAUACCGGUCCUAGCCCUCCCGCCGCCCAGCUUCCCGCCCAGCAGUUCAAACUGACCAACAGUUGCCCACCACCUCGGCUUUUGGCUUCCCCACCCCCCAGCCCUUCAGCCCCCUAUAAAACAACCCUGCCCCUCUGAGCAGCGCGGCCAUUUUUCCUUUUCGUCCCGGCUGGCCCGCCCGGAGGCUCUUUCCUCUCAAUAAAGCCUGAACUUAAGGAAUUUCCUCUAGCCUGCGGUCCGGUUUCUUUCCCAAUGAGCCCAGUCUUCCCGCA
Callithrix jacchus (white-tufted-ear marmoset) is the source of this 1500-nucleotide non-coding RNA. NCBI's taxonomy places the organism in Eukaryota, Metazoa, Chordata, Mammalia, Primates, Cebidae. The record is from RefSeq and is a predicted model, not a curated record.